This 305-nucleotide ribosomal RNA is filed under the name uncultured bacterium. RNAcentral's name for it is "bacterial SSU rRNA". It matches the Rfam family "Bacterial small subunit ribosomal RNA", at positions 334 to 656 of the family's 1533-position model. The record is from RNAcentral.
GGGUCCUACGGGAGGCAGCAGUGGGGAAUAUUGCACAAUGGGGGGAACCCUGAUGCAGCAAUGCCGCGUGGGUGAAGAAGCACUCCGGUGCGUAAAGCCCUGUCAGCAGGGAAGAAAAUGACAGUACCUGGACAAGAAGCCCCGGCUAACUACGUGCCAGCAGCCGCGGUAAUACGUAGGGGGCAAGCGUUAUCCGGAUUUACUGGGUGUAAAGGGAGCGUAGACGGCAUGGCAAGUCUGGAGUGAAAGCCCGGGGCCCAACCCCGGGACUGCUCUGGAAACUGCCAUGCUAGAGUGCUGGAGAG